This 72-nucleotide transfer RNA is filed under the name Ornithorhynchus anatinus (platypus). It matches the Rfam family "tRNA". From Rfam's summary of the family: Transfer RNA (tRNA) molecules are approximately 80 nucleotides in length. Their secondary structure includes four short double-helical elements and three loops (D, anti-codon, and T loops). Further hydrogen bonds mediate the characteristic L-shaped molecular structure. tRNAs have two regions of fundamental functional importance: the anti-codon, which is responsible for specific mRNA codon recognition, and the 3' end, to which the tRNAs corresponding amino acid is attached (by aminoacyl-tRNA synthetases). tRNAs cope with the degeneracy of the genetic code in two manners: having more than one tRNA (with a specific anti-codon) for a particular amino acid; and 'wobble' base-pairing, i.e. permitting non-standard base-pairing at the 3rd anti-codon position. The record is from Rfam by way of RNAcentral. Lineage: Eukaryota; Metazoa; Chordata; Mammalia; Monotremata; Ornithorhynchidae.
AGCAGCGUGGCUCAGUGGAAAGAGCCCGGGCUUGGGAGUCCGAUGUCAUGGGUUCGAUUCCCGGCUCUGCCG